RNAcentral lists this unclassified non-coding RNA (354 nucleotides) under soil metagenome. RNAcentral describes it as "partial contains 5.8S ribosomal RNA, internal transcribed spacer 2, and large subunit ribosomal RNA". The stretch from base 2 to 119 matches the Rfam family "5.8S ribosomal RNA", at positions 37 to 154 of the family's 154-position model. The record is from RNAcentral.
GUGAAGAACGCAGCGAAAUGCGAUAAGUAAUGUGAAUUGCAGAAUUCAGUGAAUCAUCGAAUCUUUGAACGCACAUUGCGCCCGCUAGUAUUCUGGCGGGCAUGCCUGUCUGAGCGUCAUUUCAACCCUCGCCCCCGGCUUUUGCUGGGAGCGGUGUUGGGGAUCGGCCGCCCGUCACUGGGAGGCCGGCCCCGAAAUAGAGUGGCGACCACGCCGUGUGCUCCUCUGCGUAGUAGUAAGUCACCUCGCAGGCGGACAGCGGUGCGGCCUGCCGUAAAACCCCCAACUCUUUCUGGUUGACCUCAGAUCAGGUAGGAAUACCCGCUGAACUUAAGCAUAUCAAUAAGCGGAGGA